AAUAGAUACCCAGGUAGUCCACGCCGUAAACGAUGAGUGCUAGGUGUUGGGGGUAUCAUGCCCUCGGUGCCGAAGUAAACACAUUAAGCACUCCGCCUGGGGAGUACGGUCGCAAGACUGAAACUCAAAGGAAUUGACGGGGACUCGCACAAGCAGUGGAGUAUGCGGUUUAAUUCGAAGCAACGCGAAGAACCUUACCAGGUCUUGACAUCCCCCUGAAUACGUUAGAGAUAGCGUAGGCCUUCGGGACAGAGGAGACAGGUGGUGCAUGGUUGUCGUCAGCUCGUGUCGUGAGAUGUUGGGUUAAGUCCCGCAACGAGCGCAACCCUUGAGCCUAGUUGCCAGCACUUUGGGUGGGCACUCUAGACUGACUGCCGGUGACAAACCGGAGGAAGGCGGGGAUGACGUCAAAUCAUCAUGCCCCUUAUGACCUGGGCUACACACGUACUACAAUGGCCGGUACAAAGGGCAGCGAAGGAGCGAUCUGGAGCCAAUCCCAGCAAAGCCGGUCUCAGUUCGGAUUGCG
RNAcentral lists this ribosomal RNA (526 nucleotides) under uncultured bacterium. Its description in RNAcentral is "bacterial SSU rRNA". It matches the Rfam family "Bacterial small subunit ribosomal RNA", at positions 777 to 1302 of the family's 1533-position model. The record is from RNAcentral.